Bombus impatiens (common eastern bumble bee) is the source of this 280-nucleotide long non-coding RNA. RefSeq lists it as uncharacterized. The transcript has 3 exons. The record is from RefSeq and is a predicted model, not a curated record. NCBI's taxonomy places the organism in Eukaryota, Metazoa, Arthropoda, Insecta, Hymenoptera, Apidae.
CGAACAACGUGUAAGAAAGAGAGGGAGUGCGAAAAUUCGAGACAUCGAAACGAAAUCUAAAUCGGCGAAUUACGCGAGACGUAAACGAGAGAGAAAACUGCGGCGAUUAAUUUUUAUCGCGUCGAUAUUAAUCGAGCCGACAGCGACGAUCGAUCCGAGAUUCGAACAAAAGAUACGAGUCGCGCUACCGAAACGAAUCGGUAUAGGCGAUGAAAUUGAGAAAAUGGGUAGGCGCGUGCGCGUGCAUUUAAACGAGCAAAAGGUACACGGAAUUAGAUAA